RNAcentral lists this ribosomal RNA (384 nucleotides) under Triticum aestivum (bread wheat). RNAcentral's name for it is "partial small subunit ribosomal RNA". Lineage: Eukaryota; Viridiplantae; Streptophyta; Magnoliopsida; Poales; Poaceae. The record is from RNAcentral.
AUGGCGCCCGUGCAUCGGCGACCUGGAGAUCCUCCUCCACGAUACGGAGCACAAGAGGAGGUUUUUACCGUAGAAAUCAACUAUAGUGGAUUUUUCUGCGGAUUUGGCCGAUCGAAGACGUAUGUCGAUGGUAAAGUUGCUCUGUUCGAUGGUUGCGAAGUAGAUACAUGGUCUCCUCUCUGGCUCACUGAUUUUAUGCAGCAACUGGGAUAUAGUGACCAAUCUAAGCAUGUUAUUUACUGGUUACUGCCUGGAAAGAAUUUAGCCGACGGACUGCGGAUUGUGGACUGUGACACUGACACUUUGCACAUGACAGCAGUUGUUCCAAAAUUCAGUUGUUUCAGUUGUUUGUUGAUCACAAAGAUAUGGCCUUUGACAAUGUAA